GAACAGUCUCUACCUCUGGGGCUGGGGCAGAGCACCGAGAGAGGAAUAGAGGUGGAAGCGCAUCCCCGCCCCCACCCAAGGCUGCGAGUCAGAGCUCUCUGGAGAGGGUGUGGCUGUGGCCCUCUGGAAGGUGGGAGGGUUUGCUGAGGUGCCACAGCUGGGGCUGGCAAGCAAGAAACUGCCAGCUGUGCUGGUGAGACUCACUUAGAUGCUGCCCGCUGGAGAGCCAGGGAAACUUGCUGGAGGAUGAGUGCCUCUAGGAGUCCGGGCUGCUGUUUGCUGCCACAUUCUGCUAGAAUCAAUAGGAAAAAUGGCCCCAGAACUAGGAUGAGAAGCCCCUUCCUCUAGGAGUCUCCCUCUAAGACCUUCUGCUGAGUAGCCUGACCUUGUGCCACCUGGAACGGGAGACGUGUUUGUUUAUAGGAUCUGGCUCCAGCGUAACAAAGCAGGGCAAGGAAGAGUGGGUUUGGCACUGAGAGGCAAUACACUGAUAAACCAGCACACCUGUGUUCCUCCUAUCUUGCGGUCUUUCCUUCCUUCGGAAAGUCUUCAUUCAUCCAGCAAUUGGCAAAAAGAUGGAGAAGUCUCACUUUUCCUAAACUUCCUUGGUGAGUAGUCACUAACAGUGUGGCCUCACCAAAUGCAAGAGGAAUGAGAAAUGUCUUCUAGUUGUGCACCAGGAAGACGAGAAAAACAGAUAGUGAUGAGAAGUUGUCAUCUCUACCACAGCCUGUAAUCAAAACGACGUGUUACUGGCCUAGGAAAAGAUAACUAAACCAGUUAUUAAGCUGCGGGAAAACACCUGCAGGUGUAAACCAUGUCAAGUGUUUAGAACAGUGCCUGCACACAAGCCAUGACCGAAAAAUGUUCAACUUAUAGCCACGCUCUGGUGCCCUCAAGAAGUUUGUUUAGAGGGCAAAAGUAGAAGCCUCAGGCAAGAUUUUCUUCUGUUACCUGUGGCAGAAGAGCAGCAGCUGCGGGGGCCUCAUGUGAACUUGGACAAGGGACAUCUCUGCACCACGCUAUUCAGAAAGAAGCCCAGAGGAGUCUUCCAGAUGUGCUGACCCUGGGCUUCUGCACCACUGCAACACCUGUAUGGAGUAAGGAACCCCCCAGCUAUAACGAGGGAAGAGCUCUGCCCUCCGAGGGGAGGAGAGUUCAGACAGGGCGUGCGCUUCACCUCCCUCUCUGCUACGUUUGGUUUGUGGGCUUGGAAUUUCCUUUUUCAAUAACUCCCAAGUCUAUCUGACCCACUUCUGUUGUUUCAUUCAUAGCAGAGAGAGACAUCCACAGGUAUUUUUCUCUCUCUCUAUAUGCAUGCAUUCAGUUAUUUUAACCUGCCUUUUCCCACAGAGGGUUUUAGACAAUGUAGACAAUUUGCUUGGGAAUAUUAUCAUUUCAAUGAUAAUCUCCUUUCCACACUGAACAAUAAAAUAUAGCUCCAACAAUAUUGUGGACCAACUGAUUUGAGACAAGAGCUAAAUUUAAGUUUAUCCAUUGUUAAAGACAAAUAGUCUAUUUAAAAAUUAAGAAUAUAACAGAUGUGGAUUGGAUAUUUGAUAUUUUCAUGAGCCAACGUGAUGCAGCAGAUAAUGAACUUGAGCUCUGAAGCAUACCUGAGAUUCAGCCCUAGCUUUUCGUAAUGCUAUCUGCAUAAUAUUGGGCAGGUUGCGUAGUUUACUUUCACCUCUGCUGCGUAGGGUUGUUGUGAGGAUUGACUAUAAAUGUGGGGUGAAGCACUUGAACAGGGCCUGGCACAGACUUGCUGUUUAAUGUUUAAUAACACUAGCUGGUUUGCUUGCAACUAAGCAGUCCUGCUUUCAAAAACUUAGAAUAGACCCAGGUGAGGCAAACAAUUGAUAUGUUCAUAGCAAGUCAUGAUCUUUGGUUCAUUUGACUCCUAAGAAUCCCUAACAGAAUGCAUCUUAGUGUUGUUGCUACGUGUAUCCAGAGAAAUAAACCUAUAAUUCCUUGGGAUGUUUUAUGAUUCAAAUGAUUUACUACUUCAAAUUGGUAUUUCUUUAGACCUACAAUGAAAAAGGACAUGUUUUCAUUCAAUGAAAAUACGCUGGCAUGAUAUGUGUUGGCUUGCUUUGUCCAAAAGUAGUAAGGGAUUGCACUAAAUGAUUAACAUAGUUUUUCCUGUAACUUUCAUGUAUUUGUGUGUGUGUGUUUGCCUGUAUGCACGUGCACAUGUGCCCACAUUCAUACACCUAAAGACCCUAAAGUUACUUAAUCUCAGUACUUUAAUGGAUGUUGAUGUUAUCGCAUUGGCCUCGUAAGCACUGUUUGCCA
Long non-coding RNA from Equus caballus (horse), 2295 nucleotides. The record is from Ensembl. NCBI's taxonomy places the organism in Eukaryota, Metazoa, Chordata, Mammalia, Perissodactyla, Equidae.